Molecule: ribosomal RNA, 207 nt
Filed under: uncultured bacterium
Lineage: Bacteria
Description: partial 16S ribosomal RNA
Rfam family: Bacterial small subunit ribosomal RNA
Source: RNAcentral
UGCGUAGGUGGCGCGCUAAGUCAGGUGUGAAAUUUCGGAGCUUAACUCCGAAACUGCAUUUGAUACUGGCGUGCUUGAGGACUGGAGAGGAGACUGGAAUUCACGGUGUAGCAGUGAAAUGCGUAGAGAUCGUGAGGAAGACCAGUGGCGAAGGCGGGUCUCUGGACAGUUCCUGACACUGAGGCACGAAGGCCAGGGGAGCAAACG